UUUAUAAUCUAAAUUAAAACUUUUAUUUCUUAUUUUAUUCAAUUACAUAAAUGGAAGAAGGAUUAUAUUUAAAUUUUUGUUGCUCUUACCUUUUGUAUAAUGGUUGAACUAAAAUAUAGUUUUUUUACUACACCCGAAUUAAGAAGAGCUAAUUAUUAACUUUUAUUAGGAUUUUAUAGCUUAUGUAGAAAUAUGGGCUUUAGAUUAGUAAUUAGGGGUGAAAUUCCUUCAAUUCUUAGGAUAUCUGGAAGUUUAAGAAAAGCAUUUAGUGCUGUGAAGUUAGAUACAAAGUGGUUAGAUUUUGUAUUUUUAGGAUUAGAAAUUACAUUAAUUUAUUUUCUAGGGUUAAACUCCAAGAUUAUUAACAACAAAUAUAUUUAUUUUUAUUUUUAUCUUGUCUAUAUUAAACUUUUCUUUUUAAUUUACUUAAGAAUUAAUAAUGUUUAAAUUAGUAAUAAUUUUUUUAUCUUUUAUAUCGUAUUUAUAAAAUUUUUGGUAUUUAAAAUAAUUAUAAGGAACUCGGCAAAAAUAGGCUUGGACUGUUUAACAAAAACAUAGCCAGGGGAAGAUAUUCUUGGUUUAACCUGCCCAAUGUAUUAAUAUGAAUGGCCGCGGUACUUUGACCGUGCUAAGGUAGCGUAAUCAGUUGGCUUUUAAAUGGAGUCGGGUAUGAAUGGGAGAACCGGGCUUAGCUGUCUCAUAAUUAUUUAUUUGAAUUUACUGUUUAGGUGAAAAAGCCUAAAUAUAGAAAAGGGACGAGAAGACCCUUAGAAUUUUAUUUAAAGUUGAUGUUUAUCUACUGUGAUUUUGUUGGGGCGACAGAGAAAUAUUUAUAACUUUCUUUAAAUUAAUCAGUCGGAUAUUUCAGGUUAGUAAAAAUUACCUAAGGGAUAACAGCAUAAUUUUAUUGUUAA
Molecule: ribosomal RNA, 914 nt
Filed under: Eubranchus sp. CG-2003
Lineage: Eukaryota; Metazoa; Mollusca; Gastropoda; Nudibranchia; Eubranchidae
Description: LSU rRNA
Rfam family: Archaeal large subunit ribosomal RNA (bases 527-691)
Source: RNAcentral